Drosophila yakuba is the source of this 12411-nucleotide long non-coding RNA. RefSeq lists it as uncharacterized. The record is from RefSeq and is a predicted model, not a curated record. NCBI's taxonomy places the organism in Eukaryota, Metazoa, Arthropoda, Insecta, Diptera, Drosophilidae. The transcript has 2 exons.
GCUGCUGGGUGAAAGAAGAAAAAAAAAAGCAGAAACUUGGUUAAAUUUGUGUACGAGUACAAUAUCGUGCGUUUUGUGCCCCAACGAUAAGAUCGCGUCCUCAUUGUCUUUCACUCCACCUCUACUUUGUUCGGCAAACACUUCUUUGCUGACUCUGGCCCAGAUUCUUAUCUUUCGCCACAAAACUGGUGCGAUCUUGAAAUGCUCGUGCAGCCCGGCUUCAUGCUCCUUUCUUUCAGGCGACAUAAAUAACAGGGCCAUGGUCGUAAAUAUCUAUAAUCCCACAGCAUAAUAAAGGGAAUUAUGAGGCCAUUAAAAUGUUUGCCAAAAAGAGUCGAACGGAAAGAUAUAGAAAUACAUAAAUAUUGCAAUGUGGUGUCGGAAAAAAUCUAACUACGCCCUUGGGAGUGUUUGUUAUUUGGCCCAAGGGUACAAAUAAAAACUAGGGGCGUGUUCUUCAGUUGACAUCAUUUUUUGGAUUGACUUUUUUAUCUGUAUAAAUAAAAACAAUCCGUAAGUUCCAAAAUCCACCAAUUCCAAUUCUGGUUAUCAUAAAUUAAAGUACUUAAUAUAGUGGGCUUUGACGGCCAAGUCGAUCCAUCUUACUCGUAUUCUGCAGUUAUGUGCACAGCUAAUGUUAAUAACAUUUAAUCAGCGCUCAUCAGGUUUUAUAGCCAUUUCCAAAUGAGCAAUUAGGCUAAUGAAAUUAUUAGCCAUUCGUUAUAUAUUGUGCCAUAAAAAAAUGCCAAAGUUAUGUGAGUAGUGCUGGUUGCUUAAGCGGGUUGAGUUUUAGGUAGUUAAGUGGGUAAUGAAGAAAGUUCUAAUAUUAAAUGAGCCACUUUUAGGGGAUUUUCGUAAUAAAAAGAUAGGCAAUCUUUAAUCUUUAUAUAAUCCAAUUUUAGAUUGAUUUCAUCCAAUAAAUGAAAUGUAAGUACCAAAAACUAUCUUUCAUGCAUUCGACUGUAGGUGCUCGAUUCUUUACAAGAUUGCAGUUAGGAAAUCGCGAUGAUAUGAUAUAUCAGAUCAACUUAAACUAAUUAUAGAUGGCUCUACACUCAUUGCUUAUCAAAUGAGGUCUUCCUUUUAUGACUGCAUGUGCAAUUCUAUCCAUACCAUAAAUAGUUGCCCCAUAAAGGCGAUCGUAUAUAUCAGCAUUUAGAGCUAUACGAGUGAAAAUUACCGAUUGAGUAGUACAAAGGGGUAUCGAACGAGUGCCGACAAAAGCUGAAAUUACAGUCGAUCGUAGUUAUAAGUGUACAUAAAUGAAAUGAAUAUUGCCCACUCACAGUUUGUGCCAUAAACACGAAACACGGUUUUUGCAAUAAAAUCCAUUUCGCCGCAUGCCAUAAAUUAUGGCCAACGGAGAAAGAAGAAGCAGACGGCGUGGAAGCGGAAAGGGAAAACCCGAAACUGAGGCGAGAGUUGAACGUUCAUAACUCAUCGCCCAACUACAACGAGCACUCGCACUCACACUAACACUCACACUGGCACUCACAGCCACAUUGAAUAUAAUGACGUACACUCACUCGGCUUGUUUGUGGCAAGUCUGUAUAUACGAAUAUACGAGAGCGUAAUUACGCUUAUGCCCAACUGGCGCAAGUCGUAAACUACAAAAUAUUGAAGCUUUUAUAACACUCAAUGGGCCGCCAUAAAUUAUUAUGAUACUAUUGUAAAAAUGGCAGAAUUUCUUAUCGGUACUUAAGAGUACUUUGGAUGCCCUGUAAUCAGAGUGCUUGUGUGUGCUCAUGAAAGGAGUAACAUUCAUUUUUGUGCAAGGGGAUAAUUCAGUGGCGAGGACGAUGAGGCUUAAUAGUAAUAAUUCAACAGGCCACAGCAGAUGGUUAAAUAAAUAAAAAAAAUCUUCAAGGAUGUUCCACUUGUUACUAUACUUCAAUUCUCAAAUAUGGUUUGUUUGAAUUGAUAGGUAUGGGUAUUUAAAGUGCUUGCUAUAAAUAUAUAUUUUUGUAUCAAGUAUUACAGAGUAUACUCUUAGUCAACCUAUAGCCAGCCCUAUCAUACUUUAUACAUAUUUGAUUUGAAUUUUAUGUAGGCAUGCCAAGGAACCCCCACAGUCCAAUUCUCCUCAUCAACACUUUAUUAAUUAUUGGCGCAAACAGAGGGGCGAAACUCACUAUAUUCGGUCUCGUUUUUAGCACAAUUAGUCAUAAUUUAUUAUCAUGUUGAUAAAGUUUCCGUAUUGAUUUUCGGUAUUACGCAUAUUCGUGUCGCACAUUUUGUGCUUUGUUUGUGAUUUAGUUUAUAAAUAUUUCCCAACCCCAAACUACUUACGUACAUAUACUCGUACGUGUGCGUAGAUAGAAGGGCCCAUAUGGGGCUUGUUUAAUUUAUGAGUGGACAAUAGCUUCAUAAAACGUAGAUAUAUUUUAUUUAUAUGUGCGAUUCGAAAUGGUAUUACUCUGUGUCUGACCUGUUCACAUAAUAAUUGAGGCCAUGUGGGGGUAAUUAAACAAAUCAACUUCUGCUGUAGUGUAACUAGGCCUAUCAAAACUGUUUACUAAGCGGUCUUCAAUGCUGUUUUAUGAACAUGCUAAAACUUUAGAAUAUCCGCCCGACCAAAAUACUAGUUUUUAACACUUAAUUAGCUCUUAAAAGCCAAUGGAAAACUAAAACCGAAAACCAAACAAAAAAACGUAAUAUAUACGUAUAAAUUAUGGGUAUUGUGAUAAUUAAAAUGUUACACCUUGUGAAAAUGUGUAUUCAAAACAUCGACACUAACAAGGUAAACAAACAACAACCUGAGUAUGGCAAUAAAAAACAAGUGACUACGACAACAGCAGUAGUCAUGGCUGAGCAAGUUGGAAAUGAAACCUCAACUGAAAUGCAUUUAGUUAUGCCUUUGCACAAUCAAGUCACAGCCGCUUGUUAAAUGCGUAUAAUUUAAUUAGACACUUUCGACUAAACACACUCAGCUGUCAUGAUUUGAUUUGAUUUAUUAUCGUCUGUGUACAUAUUUUUAAAUGCUAAUUUAAUAGUAAAGGUGUGUUAAGUUGGCCACAGGCAGAGCAAAUGAUCUGUUGUCCGACUUUUAUAGUGUUCGAAUUUUUCUUAGCAAGAGCACUUCCUUGUCUGUAAGACUGGUAAGCAAAGCCACCGAUUACCAAGGCUGUCUAAUUGAUCCAAUUUAUCCAAGAUCUUGGCCAAAACAAAAAUAGAAACACCAUUCAUCGGCACGCCAUACAAGUUAUUUGCUUGGCAUUUCACACAAGUGUCACUAACAAAUGCCUCAAGUAUUAUACAAAUUAACAAGAAAAGCUAAAUGUGUCAAACUAUUUUAUAGAGCCCCAAGCCACUUCCCCGCCAGCCCAUUGAAAACACUCAGCAUUUGAGAAGUAUGACACGUCGACAUACUUAAGUCAUCAUCGCACGUAAAGUUGGAACAAUAAAAGAGUCUCUGGCAAAUAAAAGUAAAGUAAAUUAUAAACAAAUAAAAGCGGCACGCGAAGCUUUUGGGUUGAUCGGGGGUCGAAGGCAAAGUGUAUGGCUCACGCACUCGAAGAGCCCUUGAAAAAGCAUACUUUAUGUUAAUAUGACAAACAAAAUGUUGAAACUUUGUGUGUUUCACUUCUUUUUUUUUUGUUUUUUUAUUGGUAAAACGAUGACAUGACAGUCAAGUGGGGGUUUCGUUUUAUUCGAGGUGUUGUAAGGGAAGUCAUGCAGUCAACGAAAGUUGCUAAGAGACAAGACGAAUGCUUGACUUCGGUCUGACAGUUUAUCAAACUGAAUCUUUUGAUCGAUUUACUUUGAACACCCUGCCGAAAGGUAUAAUGUUUUGAAAAGAAGCAAGCGGAAGAGUGUACACUUGAAUGGCUUUUUUACGAGGGUUAUCGUCAGGGUUAUUAAAGCAAAGUAGCUUUAAUUUCAUAUACUUGAGUUAUGUGCUAGUAAACAGCAAUAAAAGUUAUCUAAAAUGGAUUUCGAGAUUUAUCGUGCCACCACGACUCUUUCUUCUUUUACCACAUUUUUUGCCGGCCAUAUUUUGUAAAAUGCAAUUUUCAAAGAUUCAGCGGCUCAGGAAAUUUCCUUCCCUCGCUCACAUUACGAUACAGAAAUAGCUGCUAUAAAUAUGAAUUACAGGAUAAGCAUAAAAAGCGGAAAUUGUGUGCCGCCGCCAUCGUCGACAACGUUUUGCAUAAGCCAACGGCAACGUCUUCAGCAGACCUUUCCUCCCAUCUGAAACCCAAAACCAACCCAACCCAACCCAAUCCAAACCAAGCCAACCCAACCCAUUCCAACUCCUGACUCAGUUUUUUAAGACGCCCUUGCAGUUUUGCCGGAGAAUUAUAAAAUAAGCGAUAAAAAUGGUAUAAAACUUUAUGCAGACUUUGUAUUUUCUUCCCUUUCUUACUCGGCCCCUCCUUCUCUUUCUGCCCCACAUCGCGUAUUCUGAAGACCCUGACACUGGGAGUGGGUACUCUGUCGUUAUACAUAUUAUGCAUGUAUAUUAUAUCAUUCCGCCUGUUAACACCUUUUUGUGUACGCUUAUUUAUAUACGAUUUUUCUUCGUUUUCGGGCGAUAAUAAAUUUUGGCGUGGUUGUGGUGAAAGAGGAACAAAUAUAAAUGUAUAUGAGAAAUUUGCAUAAAUGGCUAUAAAAUUAUUAAGAGCCUUGCGCCCAAGUUGAAUUAAAUGAUUCAUCUAGACUUUUAAUACUGUGAGCUGGGCGGCAUGAAUAUAGAAGUUUGAACAACUAACUUGUCGCUUUUUUUUUAUUUUUAAAUUUGCUUACACUAAGGAUUAAAUAGCUGCCAUAGACUACUAUCAUAUAUGUACUCUAAAUUUAUGCAAACCUAAUAAUUUUAAAAGCAAAUAGUUUAAGACUUCCUAACAAUCCUAUUAUUAGAUGGUUUAUUAGUUAUACAUUUUAAUUAUUUAUUUAUAAAUGAAUUUAAAGUUCUAGGUGUAUAAUGAUCAAGCUGUGUAACCUUUUUCGAACCCUCAAUAAUUUAAAUUGCUUGUCAAAAAGACAAAAAUGUUAAACGAUUACAACCAUUUGUUUUCAGGGUGGCCUCACCCCUUAGGAAACCAAAGCACAUGCUUAAAGGUCACAAAUGAUUAGACCCUCCGCUCAACCGUAACCCCUUUCCGCACCGUAGGUCCGUAGUCCGUAGUCCGUAGUCCGUAGUCCGUAGUCCUACCACAUGUAUAGUAGAUAUGUAGACGGCCCGGCCAGUGCGACCACAACUGCAAUUCAAUAUGCCUGUUGGUUUAUUUUCAGCCGGCACGGCACAAUGGGAGAAACACAAAACCCUGUCACAUUAACUGUCAACUGCCGCACAACUGACACUUGUCAUAUUGACAACCGACAGCGUCAUUUGACUGUCAAACGCGGGCCAACAGAGUGAACAAAUGGCAAAUAAAGCCGAGAUCCGACGAGGCCAUCCCUGGCACUAAAAAAGCCGACUGUUCGACUAUUCGACUACUCGACUAUUCGACUAGCCGACUAUAUCCAUGUGGCAUGUGGCAAUGCCUGGCGUGGCAUAGAGUUGCCACUGCCGGUGAAGAGCACUUGGCGUUAGACAAUGUUGCAAUUUCAGACGUUGCAUGAGUCUGAGUCCCAACUGUCAGCCAUAUCAUUGCAAUUGUCACAGUGGCUUGCUGCUGCUGCUGCAGUUGCUGCUGCACUGGGUGCACUUUGAGUGACACAUUAAUGCCAUUUUCAUGUGUCACUCUUUCUUUCAUUUGCAGUGGCCCCACUCGGCGGGGUCUCUUGGAAAACUUGGCUGGGGUCGUGUCUUGUUUCUCUGUUAGAUUUCAUGUCAGACUUUUGUCGACAUUACGUGUCUAUUUAGUUUUCAGUUGGCAGUUGUUAUAGCUUCGCUGCUGCUGCUGCUGCAUUUUCCGUUGGCCUUUUUUCAUUUUGGUUUCCAGAGCUGUGUAUGCAAACAUUUGUUUUUCGUCGCCGCAUUCCUCACUUCGUUUUUCUUCACCAGCAUUUUUUGUAUACUUAUCUUAGUUGUUUUUUUUUUGGUGUAGCUGUGCAAAUUACUUUGUUGUUUCUGGCCUUUUUAUUUGCAUGGCAAGUAUUUUUUCUAUCUUUUGUCAGGUGUGGCUUAUUUGGCUGCCCAGGUGGGUGACUCAAAUUAGGAAACAAAUGCGAUUACGGUAAUUAGGGGAUGCGAAUAAAUAUUUAGGCGCUUAAAAUAGUUUCAACUCUUUGGGUGACGUAAGCGUAAUGAACACGUGGACUGGGCUAUAGCUUCUCAUUUAAUCCAAUUGCAAGGUGCUACAUCUAAGUCUGUGGGUAAACAGUGCGUAUACGCAAUGCCAUUAACCCCGUAGCCUCUACCAAAGUUAAUUGCCACAGAAUGGGAAAAACAUUAACAAGGCAAUGCUCGCUUGCAGAUCUAUCACUUAAUCUCACUUCCCUCUGGCGAUGUACACAUUUUUUUUCCUGCUAUUGAUGUCAACGCCAUUAUAUUCCAUUAUACCGCUCAUCACUCAUGUGGCAGCAGAGCAGCAAAACACAGCGUAUACAAAUAAAAUACGACUCAAAAAUAAGGCCUCUCAAGGUUGCUCUUGGAUUAGCGCAGCUGUCUCAGCCUAAUGGUGUUUAUUUUUUCAAUUCUCGCCAUCUCUAUCUGUGUAUGUGUGUAUCCUUAAUUUGGACAACGUGUUUAUCAAUCAUACGCAACGUGCGCCUGUCACCUGCCAUCGUCUGUCCAGCGCUGUGAUGGAAUGCGUCAACGUGGGCGUUACUUUAUGACGGGCUGUACUUCCUCCCGCAAUAAAAAAAAACACUGGCUUUAUAUGGUAUUCAAAAAAAAAUGUAUACAUAUGCGUAAAUAAAUAUGGAAUUAACAGCUGUGAGGGUUAUGCAAACGCGAAUCAUUGUUAUUAUCAGCAUACGCAAUUAUUUACUUUGCGGAUUCUUUCGGAAUGACUCGGCUUAGAUUAUCUUAUUUUCUUGGCAUUAUCUUUUUUGUGGACAGAAUGUCUCGCAUUAGGUUUGCUUAGAAUAUUUAGUGCUAUUAUUAACAGCACUUUAUUGAGAUUUAUUUGAGAUUAUCAUAAGUUGUUCAAAUAUAUUAUUUAUUUUUCUGCCUAUAUACCAAAUAUCCUAUAAGUCGUUCAAUCUAAUUAGAAAGGUAUAGUAAUCUUUAGGUCAUUUGAAUGGAAUACUUAAGUUCUGGCAAUCUCAUUAGUCGAGUAAAGUGUAUGCCUACAGUUUAGCACCUCAAAACUGGACCAUGAGGGGUUCACAGAAUUUCAAUGUAGCAGUCCCGCACCGAGCGCCGAUUAUUUCACCACAAAUCUUUGUUGUUCAUCAAGAACAAUAAUUUCGAUAUUUUAUUCCCCCAUUUAGAGGAAUUCGCAUUUAUUUGCGCCUGUGUGCUGUGCUGUGUGGCAGCUGUUGGCCUGGCAAAUUAGCAUAAAACCAAGCAAAAGGUGUCUGUCAUUGCUGUCAAGUGAAUUGAAUGCCUGUGCCCACAUGCGGCAUUCAUUAAUUCCUACUUUCCGACUGAUCCGCGCCGUGUUUGUCGCACAUUUUUUCUCGAUUUUAUUUUUAUUAAGAAAAAUCUUUAAGCUGACAGCUGACUAAAUUAAUUUGACAAUAAUUAGCAUUUCAAGUUGUCAGCGUUAAUGAAAUUUCCACCCCUCCCCGCCCGAUGCACUCGCCUCCAUCGCGAUCGCAUAAUGAACCCAACGACACUUUAUUAUUUCAGUCCACUGCAACUGCAGCAUUAUUGGUGUCUCACUGGCAUUGUUGGCUGUCAACUGGCUGUUGCCUUGGCUCGCCUGUCAAAAUGCCAAAUGGCCGACGAGCUGUGAGGCGGUACGGGGUGCUACACGGUCCGAAAAGUCCUAGAACUAGUCUCUAUUCCCCUUCAAUUUUUUAAGUACAUACAUCUUAACAAGAUUUCCGAGUGUGCAGAUUUAAAGGCAAAGGCUUAAGCCAACUUUUAGGCAGCCGAUUUUACAGGAAGAAAACAUUCUGUUUCAUAAGUAAGCUCUUGAUUAUUCACUUUCCUAAAGCUUUGCCGUUUCACUGGGCCACAUCCCCGGUAUAAAAUCUCAAGUCCGCAUAGUAUAUAAAAUGGCAAGAACGAUUAAAAUUCUCCAAGUGUAUGCCGCUGACGAUGAGCCAGAAGAUGCGGAUCACACCCCUCCCAGACCCACAAAAUGUUCGUUCGGAGGUGUCAUUCGCAUUUGGCAUCGCGUUAAUUACGUGUUAUUUAUAAUUAUGCCGCUCUACAGUUGCGUUGACAAGUGUUGUCAGCAUCCCGCCCUUCUUCCUGCCACGCCCUCCUUGCCCCGCCCUCUUCUGAUUAUGUUUUCAUCUGCAUUUGCAGCCUCCUCGUUUUUGGCAUAAUUCAUUUUACCGGCUUCCCUUGCGUGCUUGAAUUGCGUUUUUUUAACAACACCAUUAAGUGGAUUUUUGUCGUUCUAAUGAUCUCAACUUCUGGUGGCUGUUUUUUGCUUGUUAUUUGGGUGAAAUGUAAAUUUUGGUUGCUUCUUUUGUACAUAAAAAAUGAUGUAUUUAAACAUUAUUUUAAAUUAGCAUUGGGGCCAGAUUAGCCAUGCUUCACUGUACAUAUGCAAUAGAUACCGUUACAGAAACGACUAACUGAAAGCUCGGUAAAGGAAAACAAAUUGUUGUUGCACUUCCGUUGCCAGUCAACUCUGACAGCAAGAAAGAGACGGCGCUAAAGGGGCAGAGGGAGAUAGAUGGAGAGUGGGAUCUUCCACUAUUUUAGCACUUCGCGCCGUUUCUGCCAAACUGACAGCUUUGUGUUGCACAGCUGUUAACCCAUCUCCCCAUCUCCUGACCAGUACACAAAAAGUAUGUUUUAGGAAAAAUGCUAUGUAAAUCUAACUACAGCUUUAGAACGCUGAAAAGAUGUUGGCCUAAAAUAAUAUUACAAGAGGGUUUUGAAUUUUCUAGUUUAGUUUAAACUAACAGAAAAUAUUCAAGAUCUCUUAUAAGAUUUAAAUAAAAUGUAUAUUUUUUAUACAUUUUCCUCAGUGCAGAUACAAUUCGCGAAUAAAAAAUGCACUUGGCCUGUCUAUUCCAAAAAACAAAACUGAAGCAGCUGGAUUUUCGAGGGGAGCAACAGAGACAGGGAGUACGGCUGAAUGACGUGCUGACGCCUCUUCUCUCGCUCCCUCCCCCUGCCCCCUGUCCACUGCCCCAACCCCCCUGUAAAGCCUUCUGCCUGUCUGCAUAAUAAAAUGCGAAAAUAUGCAAAUAGAGCCAAAUAACGCGAGCAGUGCAACCAACAACACACGCAGUGGAAAGGGGUUUUAGCGGGAGAAGCGGCCGGGGUAUCAACCCCUUCGUUAGAUUAUUUCGCUGCGAUAAGCCAAAGAAACUGAAAAAAAAGGAGAAAAAACUGUGCACAUUUUGUUGCAUUUUUUAUUCGCAAAAAUACGCCGAAAUGACAGGGCGACAAGACAAAAAGACAGCGGAGACAGCUGAAUAAAUGAAUUGCAGUAGGUAAAUUUUAUUCGCAACACUCGCUCGGCUAAUUUGAAUAGGCAGGCCCCCUUAGUUCCCUCGAUUUUCCCGAUUCCCUCGAUAAAGAUGCUACCCACACGAAAAGUGUGGAAAGCCUUUGUUCGGCGCAAGAUAUUUGACACGUGAUAACGCACAAGGCGAGCCUGGGAAAACUGCAGGAGGCGUGAGAUGUGCAUCGCAUUGUUCUGUAACAACUCGAUGCACUUCCUACCCUUUCUCUACCCAGUUUUCCCCCCCCUGCAAAGUCCAUGAAAAUGUAUUAGCUCUGGCUUGGAUGCAAGUCGAACAACGAAUGUUUAUAAUUACUGUUCCAGAUUGAUUUGUUAUUCAAACGUUCCCCAAUAUUCCCCAAUAGAAACGCUGUGCGUUUAUUCAGCAUUUUUGACACAUGAUCAUAAUCAAACACACUGCAUGUGGAUCGUUGAUGUGAACGAUUGCCAAUGUUCGUGGUGGCUGUCAGCAGCAUUUCCCUGCGUAAGUCAAACGAAUGUUUUUGUAACUUGACAUUUGACAUGACAUUCAAGUCAUUGGAAAGUAAAAACUGUGACAGCGUCUUUAAUUCGUUUUAUUUUCCCUAUGCGUUUUCUUUUAUUUUCGUUUUGUAUAUUUCAACCUUGCCAUUUUUGCCUUGAAGUGUCACAAGUACUGCCUGUCUAUAUGGGCGGGGGGUGGGGUUGGGGAAAGUGUCAACGGCAGUCGAAAGACAACAAAGCGAAAGAAAAACGAAAGCCAAGAAGAGCUAGAAAUUUGUAACCGAAUAGCAAUCAAAAAGUGUCACUUUGACACAUGUCAGUUUGUAUUUAAAUGAACUUUUCCGCCCCUUUUGUUGAUGGGGCAUAUUUCAUUGUUUUUUGUGCCCAUAAACAAAAUUAAACAAAGUAGGGAUAACAUUUCUGCCAAGUGUCAGUCGCCUUUGAAGGCUUGAAUUCAAUUUUUCGAUGCAAGCGAAAAAUAAUAAUAAUCAGUCAGUUUCCAGCCUGAAGGAACACAUCUAAUUUCAUUUAUUAGUAAGCAAAACUUUACAUUUAAUAAAAUGUUAUCUCCAAAUCAUUUUUGGUGUAUCCUAAAAAGUAGCACGGCUUUAAAGGCAAGCUGUAAAUAUUUAAAUCUGAAGAUUAUUUAUGAGGAAUUUAAUUUCUUUUGGUCUAUUGUUGCGCAGUGUGACGACCGGGCCAUAAUUUCUGUAUCGCAAUCGGUCGAAAGUCACUUUCACUUUCGUUGCUCGCCGUAAAUUGAGACCAGCUUGCAACACGAAAAGUAAUUUGAAACGCUUUCAAAUGACUGCCACAAAAUUAAUGGACACCAAUCAGACACUCACACAGAGUGCGACUCGUUCAAGUGGCGCCAAUUAAAAUGAUUAACAUCGCGAUAGAAUAAAUAAAAAAAUACAAAUACAGCCGAAAAAAAGUGUCUGCAGCGCGACCAACGGAAAUAAACGGAAUACCCGAUGAUAAGAGAGGGCUUUGAUAGCUCACAAGUUGUUUCAGCGCAUAAUUGAUGUGAUUGAGAUUGAUUGUUUAUUUGUUUUCCGCCCAUUCAGCGGUUUGAUUUGAUUGAAAUUGUCGCUGCCCAAUCGAAGCCCAAAAAAGGCGCCAGUUUGACCGCUUCGUGGGCUUAUCAGCCUUACAUUUUAGCCUACUUCUUUAAAUAGACUUUUUAUGAGCCCCCACUGGCUGCCUUUUACAGAGAAACCCAUAAAUUUGAACAUUCUUGAAUGCCUUGCGUUUCUUUAGAAUUUCAGAGCUUCAAAAGCAAUUUGUGUGCACUUAGUAUCAAAUGUUUUGCUGAGCUGUGAAAGCCCCCUUUUUUCCAAUGAUCUUUUUGGGGGUCUUGGUGAAUGAGCAUUUGGGCGGCCAGCUGAUUAAUAUUUAUACACAAUCUUAAGCCAAUCACUCAUACGCCCCGUAACCAACUUAAUGAUUGAUACCAUUUGAAACCCAUUUAAUUUUCACCAGAUUACCAGGGCAUUAAGAAUGCCGCCGUAACGGUCAAGCGUUUCGCUGGACAUGUGGGAAUUAUGGGAUUUUUUCACUCUGCGCCUCGGCUUUAAAACCAAUUUGGGAAAAUGCUUAAAGUAAAACCCCUUUGUCACAUGGCGACAUGGUCAUAAGCAUGUGCUUGGACAUAAUUAAGGUCGUUAUGGGGCGGCAAGUACCGAAACCUUUUAAACGGAAUCUUUUUUAAGUAGCAAUAAAUACAUUUUAAAUAUCGAUAUAUAUGGCAUGCAAUUCUUUUGUAUUCUAAAAUAACACGAAGGUACUGAGUGAGUAUUGUGCAUAUACUUAAAACCUGGCGCAACCCGUUUAUUCGUACAAUUAAGUUUGUGACACAUCUCAUGAUGCUGUUAAUGGCGAUGGUGAUAAUGCAAUUGACAGUUAUCAGCGGGCACAUUAAUUUGAUUACUUCUAUAUGAAUUUAUUGGUUAAUUUGUUGGAGCAUUUUACGAUUAUUGACUUUGACUGUUUUAUAACCCACAUUCGACCCUCCUCUCAGCCCCCUUCCCCCAAAUCGAUUAUCUCGGGCCAUAAUUUGUAAUGCCGCGACUUAACUCUAUGGAGAAAAAAAAAUACAUAAAAAACGGGUUAUUAUUUUGCGGUUAAAGCGGCGAUUGCAAUUCAUUAUCAUAGUUGCCGCCUCGCGUGCAUUUAAAUGAAUUCAUUGAGUUUCACCCAUUCAAUUUGUACAUACGCAAGCAUUUAGUUUUCAAAAUGAUAUUUGCCGUGAAUGGUUAUGACUAUAGUUUUCAAUCGAAAGGGGUUUCGGAGGUGUUGCCUGCACGAUUCGAUGGGGCCGAGUUUUAACUGAUAAAUGCCGUUUGAUUGUGCCCCUAAACGGCAGUAAUAUUGUUUGGGCGAAACGGAAACAUUGUGCUGGACGCUGCUGUUCAAGUUUUAUGGCUCUUUCUAUUUCAUACUCUAUAUUUAUAGUUGCUUA